AUGAAUCAGUGUGAGGACAGAGAGGAGGGAGUCCCUCCCUCUAAAAGCACUCUGUGUGAGGAACAUGACACAAGGACCAAAGCUCAGAGGAUCCAUCAGAGACCAGACUGUCCUGAACCUGAACCCAGCUGUGUGUCCAUGAAGAGUGACCUCUCUAUGGAUCGUUAUAUAGACUUCAAAGAUGGCCGCCACUCUGUUGAUCAAAGGUGAGGAUUUUCGAACUGAUGAUGAAAAUAAAAUUAUGUGUUUUCAUCAGACUCUCAGUUGUGAAAUCUCUUUUAAUGGAUGGUGAUGGUAUGUGUCUGAUCAGCUCAAUUUACAACAGCCUCUUAAAGUGAACAAAUAGUUGCAGCAGUUUAUAGAAACUCACUGUCUGUUCGUCUUUUUAUCCUAAUUAGACCGAUAUGGUCACUCGACAGCAUAAUUUCCCCACCUAUACUGCACACUGCACUGAAUACAACUUUAAUAAAUACACUGAAACAUUUCUAAAUCAAACACUGACUUUAUAGAAAUCCUAACCAAGAACUCCCUGGAUACAAAUACACUGUUUACAGUAGGUGUAUUCAGUCACUGGCAGGUUUUGUCUCAGUGUGUUGUGGGUGCAGUGCAGAAUUUAUCCUGUUUUUCUAUCAGAAGGAAAAAACCUGAACCCAGCUGUGUGUCCAUGAAGAGUGACCGCUCUAAGGGUUGUCCUGUAUUCUUCAAAGAUGGCCGCCACUCUAUUGAUCAAAGGUGAGGAUUUCAAACUGAUGAUGAAACUAAAAGUCUUUUCAUCAGACUCUCAGUUGUGAAAUGGACAGUGAUGGUUUGUGUCUGAUCAGCUCAAUUUACAACAGCCUCAGUUUCAAAGUGAACAAAUAGUUGCAGCAGUUUAUAGAAACUCACUACUCUGACACCAUGUUAAUCAAUUAAAUUCAAUUUUACUUGUAUAGCGCCGAUUCAUAACAAAAGUUAUCUCAGGAAACUUUUGAAAUAGAGCAGGUCUAGACCGUACUCCUUAUGAAACUAUUUACA
Molecule: long non-coding RNA, 1014 nt
Filed under: Dicentrarchus labrax (European seabass)
Lineage: Eukaryota; Metazoa; Chordata; Actinopteri; Moronidae
Description: lncRNA (ENSDLAG00005030059.1)
Source: RNAcentral